UGGGGAAUAUUGGACAAUGGGCGCAAGCCUGAUCCAGCCAUGCCGCGUGAGUGAUGAAGGCCCUAGGGUUGUAAAGCUCUUUCACCGGUGAAGAUAAUGACGGUAACCGGAGAAGAAGCCCCGGCUAACUUCGUGCCAGCAGCCGCGGUAAUACGAAGGGGGCUAGCGUUGUUCGGAAUUACUGGGCGUAAAGCGCACGUAGGCGGACAUUUAAGUCAGGGGUGAAAUCCCGGGGCUCAACCCCGGAACUGCCUUUGAUACUGGGUGUCUAGAGUUCGAGAGAGGUGAGUGGAAUUCCGAGUGUAGAGGUGAAAUUCGUAGAUAUUCGGAGGAACACCAGUGGCGAAGGCGGCUCACUGGCUCGAUACUGACGCUGAGGUGCGAAAGCGUGGGGAGCAAAACAGGAUUAGAUACCCUGGUAGUCCACGCCGUAAACGAUGGAAGCCAGCUGUCGGCAAGUUUACUUGUCGGUGGCGCAGCUAACGCAUUAAGCUUCCCGCCUGGGGAGUACGGUCGCAAGAUUAAAACUUAAAGGGAAUUGACGGGGUCAUAGCUGUUUCCU
RNAcentral lists this ribosomal RNA (562 nucleotides) under uncultured bacterium. Its description in RNAcentral is "partial 16S ribosomal RNA". It matches the Rfam family "Bacterial small subunit ribosomal RNA", at positions 355 to 1375 of the family's 1533-position model. The record is from RNAcentral.